CUUUCGGUUUUUCUUUCUUCUUCACUUCUAGACGUCUCUCUCUCACCCGUUACCCACCUUUCCUCUCCCGAGUUUCCUCUUCUUUUCGUUUGGGUCUGUUUCGUGAGUCUGAGUUUCAUGCCCUAACAAUUCUCCAUUUUCUUUUCCCUCACGAUCGGUCUCUCUCUCACGUCCCUCUAUUGCUCAGUAUUUGUUGAAGCUGCAGUUUUGGGUAAAACAAAUUUCAGUCUUGGUUGCUGAGAGCUUCUCCAGUUGUCCGUGGUUUUGGUGGAUUUCUUUCCCGUGCGUCUUCGUGUUUGUUGUAGUGCAGUGACUAUGUCGUUCUACUCGGUUUCUCAUAAACGUUGAGCCUUCAACUACAGUGUUAUGUCGCUCCCUUCUUUCACCGAUCACCACGCGAUGCUAGGU
This is a long non-coding RNA of Juglans microcarpa x Juglans regia, 408 nucleotides long. RefSeq lists it as uncharacterized. The transcript is spliced from 3 exons. NCBI's taxonomy places the organism in Eukaryota, Viridiplantae, Streptophyta, Magnoliopsida, Fagales, Juglandaceae. The record is from RefSeq and is a predicted model, not a curated record.